This 132-nucleotide small nucleolar RNA is filed under the name Dasypus novemcinctus (nine-banded armadillo). Its description in RNAcentral is "Small nucleolar RNA SNORA31 (ENSDNOG00000046673.1)". The record is from RNAcentral. Lineage: Eukaryota; Metazoa; Chordata; Mammalia; Cingulata; Dasypodidae.
AUGCAUCUCUGAUAGACCUGGAGUAGUUCAUAUCUGCUGCUAAAGUUUCCACUACAGAUACAAGAAAAAGAAGGUCAUAACAUUUCCAUCUGUUUGCUUGUAGCAACCAAGAUUGAAUGAGAGAAUACAGGA